UACGUAGGGGGCAAGCGUUGUCCGGAUUUAUUGGGCGUAAAGAGCGUGUAGGCGGUCUGGUAGGUCCGUUGUGAAAACUCGAGGCUCAACCUCGAGACGCCGAUGGAAACCAUCAGACUAGAGUCCGGAAGAGGAGAGUGGAAUUCCUGGUGUAGCGGUGAAAUGCGCAGAUAUCAGGAAGAACACCCGUGGCUAAGGCGGCUCUCUAGUACGGUACUGACGCUGAGACGCGGAAGCGUGGGGAGCGAACAGG
RNAcentral lists this ribosomal RNA (253 nucleotides) under uncultured bacterium. RNAcentral describes it as "partial 16S ribosomal RNA". It matches the Rfam family "Bacterial small subunit ribosomal RNA", at positions 524 to 776 of the family's 1533-position model. The record is from RNAcentral.